This 292-nucleotide unclassified non-coding RNA is filed under the name uncultured Helotiales. RNAcentral's name for it is "sequence contains ITS1". The stretch from base 1 to 105 matches the Rfam family "5.8S ribosomal RNA", at positions 50 to 154 of the family's 154-position model. Lineage: Eukaryota; Fungi; Ascomycota; Leotiomycetes; Helotiales. The record is from RNAcentral.
GAAAUGCGAUAAGUAAUGUGAAUUGCAGAAUUCAGUGAAUCAUCGAAUCUUUGAACGCACAUUGCGCCCCGUGGUAUUCCGCGGGGCAUGCCUGUUCGAGCGUCAUUUAAACCAAUCCAGCUUGCUGGGUCUUGGGCUUCGCCUCCGGGCGGGCCUCAAAAUCAGUGGCGGCGCCUCUCGGCUCUAAGCGUAGUAAUACUCCUCGCUAUAGGGUCCCGGGUGGACGCUUGCCAACAACCCCCAAUUUUAUCAGGUUGACCUCGGAUCAGGUAGGGAUACCCGCUGAACUUAA